This 638-nucleotide ribosomal RNA is filed under the name uncultured soil bacterium. RNAcentral describes it as "bacterial SSU rRNA". It matches the Rfam family "Bacterial small subunit ribosomal RNA", at positions 154 to 770 of the family's 1533-position model. The record is from RNAcentral.
AACGGCUUGCUAAUACCGCAUAAUGCAGCGGCUCGACAUCGAGACAGUUGUUAAAGCGGGGGAUUCGCAAGAACCUCGCGCCUGAAGAGAAGCCUGCGGCAGAUUAGCUAGUCGGCAGGGUAACGGCCUACCAAGGCGACGAUCUGUAGCCGGCCUGAGAGGGCGGUCGGCCACACUGACACUGACAUACGGGUCAGACUCCUACGGGAGGCAGCAGUCGGGAAUUUUGGGCAAUGGGCGAAAGCCUGACCCAGCAACGCCGCGUGAAGGAUGAAAUCCCUCGGGAUGUAAACUUCGCAAGAAUGGGAAGAAUAAGUGGGGGACAAUACCCCCCAUGAUGACGGUACCAUUUGUAAGCUCCGGCUAACUCCGUGCCAGCAGCCGCGGUAAUACGGGGGGAGCAAGCGUUGUUCGGAUUUACUGGGCGUAAAGGGCGCGUAGGCGGCCACGACAAGUCAGUUGUGAAAUCUCUGGGCUUAACUCAGAGCGGUCAACUGAUACUGUCGGGCUAGAGUGCAGAAGGGGCAACUGGAAUUCUCGGUGUAGCGGUGAAAUGCGUAGAUAUCGAGAGGAACACCUGCGGCGAAGGCGGGUUGCUGGGCUGACACUGACGCUGAGGCGCGAAAGCUAGGGGACGA